GACGAACUCUUUCUUCGUGCCUAAUACAUGCAAGUAGAACGCUGAAGAGAGGAGCUUCCUCUUCUUGGAUGAGUUGCGCACGGGUGAGUAACGCGUAGGUAACCUGCCUUGUAGCGGGGGAUAACUAUUGGAAACGAUAGCUAAUACCGCAUAACAAUGGAUGACACAUGUCAUUUAUUUGAAAGGGGCAAUUGCUCCACUACAAGAUGGACCUGCGUUGUAUUAGCUAGUAGGUGAGGUAAUGGCUCACCUAGGCGACGAUACAUAGCCGACCUGAGAGGGUGAUCGGCCACACUGGGACUGAGACACGGCCCAGACUCCUACGGGAGGCAGCAGUAGGGAAGCUUCGGCAAUGGGGGCAACCCUGACCGAGCAACGCCGCGUGAGUGAAGAAGGGUUUCGGAUCGUAAAGCUCUGUUGUAAGUCAAGAACGGGUGUGAGAGUGGAAAGUUCACACUGUGACGGUAGCUUACCAGAAAGGGACGGCUAACUACGUG
RNAcentral lists this ribosomal RNA (497 nucleotides) under uncultured bacterium. RNAcentral's name for it is "partial 16S ribosomal RNA". It matches the Rfam family "Bacterial small subunit ribosomal RNA", at positions 28 to 507 of the family's 1533-position model. The record is from RNAcentral.